This 2594-nucleotide unclassified non-coding RNA is filed under the name Mizuhopecten yessoensis (Yesso scallop). RNAcentral's name for it is "uncharacterized LOC110447423, transcript variant X1". The record is from RNAcentral. Lineage: Eukaryota; Metazoa; Mollusca; Bivalvia; Pectinida; Pectinidae.
AGUCAGGGUUCACUGUACCUCAGACCCGUGCAGCACUACACGUAUUGGUUCCUAUUCAUAGUUCAUGUUACAAAAAUAGUCGCUCCGGAUUUGGUUUUAUAUUUAUUUGAUCCUUUUGGUAUUUUGGGAUGGACGAUGAAAAGAAAAAAAGAUUCUUUAAUGCAGUUAGAGAGGAAACGAUACGACCCUGUUCAUUGCUGAAUAAACAUCUGUUAAAGUAAACGGAACAGAGUCCCAUUUAUGAACACGGUGUGAAACCACAAUGCCAGCUGUAGCCUGCCCUAUCACAGACUGCAACUAUGUCACGGAUGACCUGGAUGCCACUAUCGUCGCGGCACUCAUCACGGCUCACUCCGCUGUACACAUACCCAAACGAGAACAAUUCAAGUUUAUUUGGUAAAAAGUUGAGAAAGUUAACCGACCCACGCUCAGUGCCGCAGGAUCUAGCGAGGGGUGGGCAUAUUUCCGAUAUCGGUGGUCGGACUAUGUCAGUGCCACGAAAAUCACUGGACGAGAUAAAGUAAUCCAGCUACUAGAAUGCUGUGACGAACCAUUACGGAAAGACUUGACACGAUCAGCCGGUGUUAGUCUCCCUGACAAAACUGUGGAUGAGGUUUUAGCUGCAAUUAAAAAGCUCUCGGUACGUGAGGAAAACACUAUGGUUGCAAGAGUGACGCUACACAAUAUGCGACAGGAUCGUGAUGUCACUGUCCGGAGUUACGGCGCUAGACUUAAAGGACAGGCCGGUAGAUGCAAGUUUGUGGCCCGGAUGUACAACCGACGUCAAUUAUACUGACGCUACCAUGCGUACUUACCCGAGGAAUUACCGAUCCGGAAAAACAACUUGAUCUGCUAAGACACAAAAAUCAGGACAUGAGUCUUGAGGAUGUAUUUUAAUUUGUUGCGUCACUUUAUAAUAAGACAUGAAAAUUACUCAUCAUUUUAUCAUGCGACAUGACACUUCUUGGUGGCUAAGAACAACUAGGUCUGGUCACGGUUGUAUAUAACAGUAGGAACACGUACAACACAUUUCUGUAAAUUGUAAAUAUUUACCCCUUAUGUACUACUGAUCGUGAUGUAUGAAUGCCCGAAAUGAACAAAUGCUUUUUUUAUUUUUAUAGUGCUGGACUGAAAAUGUGUUUUCUUUCAUAUAAUGUUCCUAUUUAGACUUCCUGAGGCUGGUAUUUGAAUACAUGAUUCACUUUACGGUUUAAAUUUCUAUUUACGGGAAAUCUGUGUUUUACAUAUUAUUCUGAAGUACUGAAUAAGAGGUUGUUUUAGCAUAUACAUGAUACGUUUGAGGAAUUCAUGUGAUAUCUAUGAAUAUAUUCAACAGAUGAAGAAAUGUCAAAAAGGAUUUUCCAUAUCAUUGAUCCAUGCUUUUUAAUUACAUGUAUCUUGUUUAAAACAGAACGCAUGUGACUGAUCCAUGCUUAUAGUAUACACAAUGUUGCAAAAUAAUACAUCUGACUGAUGUAUGUUUAUAAUACUCCGUGUUACAAAAUAUUAUAUCUGACUGAUGUAUGUUUUUAGUACAUCACAUGAUAAUUUCUAGGAUAUACCUUUUUAGUAGCGUGACGCUAAGAGUGGUGCCCCUUCUCCUAGGGAGCGCUGUACAUAUUCUACUUUCAAUUCAUUGUUGUAGUCUGCAAUAAUGGCUUCGAUAUUCGGGACCGGGAAUGCCGAUUGCUUCGUAGAAGCUCAGCAAUGCAUAAAGACGAAGCAGGCGACACAACUUGCCGUCGCAGUCCUUAAAGACUUCCUACUGGAAAGGGAAACCGUAUGUGACUUAGCGGUGAUUCAAUCCAGUGAAUUGAACGGUGUUUUGGUGGAUUUCUAUGCCAAUAUACGCAAUAAGGCAAGGUUUUCGGUGGCAUUUACAAGAACCAUCAUGUGGCAGAGAAUGACAGUCAUGUGAUGUACUAAAUCUAUUAUGACCCUUUUCCGAGGGAACUGUUCUCUUAUAGUGUCGUCUGGGGAGGUAUAGUGCCCGAGCCGUUAGAAUAGUAGUACACAGUGUUACAAAAUAAUAUAUCUGACUGAUGUAUGUUUAUAAUACUCCGUGUUACAAAAUAGUAUAUCUGACUGAUGUAUGUUUAUAAUACACAGUGUUACAAAAUAUUAUAUCUGACUGGUGUAUGUCUAUAAUACACCGUGUUACAAAAUAGUAUAUCUGACUGUUGUAUGUUUAUAAUACACAGUGUUACAAAAUAUUAUAUCUGACUGGUGUAUGUCUAUAAUACUCCGUGUUACAUAAUAUUAUAUCUGACUGAUGUAUAUUUAUAAUCCUCCGUGUUACAAAAUAGUAUAUCUGACUGAUGAAUGUCUAUAAUACUCCGUGUUACAAAAUAUUAUAUCUGACUGAUGUAUAUUUAUAAUACUCCGUGUUACAAAAUAGUAUAUCUGACUGAUGUAUGUCUAUAAUACUCCGUGUUACAAAAUAGUAUAUCUGACUGAUGUAUAUUUAUAAUACUCCGUGUUACAAAAUAUUAUAUCUGACUGAUGUAUGUUUAUAAUACUCCGUGUUACAAAAUACUAUAUCUGACUGAUGUAUAUUUAUAAUACUCCGUGUUACAAAAUAUUAUAUCUGACUG